UAAACCUGGUGGUAUACGUGCCCGCCCGCGCAGCGCGUGAACCGUACAAUAUCCAAAAUUUUUUGAAAUUAUGCUUCCAUCCAUCCCAAACUUUCUAUAAAAUCAGAUCCAUCUUAUUACUAAAAUUCAAAACAAAUAAAAAAUAUAAAAAAAUAAAUCAUGUGAUACCUCAAAAAUUUUAAAAUUACGCCAAACUUCUGAUCAGACAACAUGCGCGCAUCACACCGC
Molecule: long non-coding RNA, 228 nt
Filed under: Elaeis guineensis (African oil palm)
Lineage: Eukaryota; Viridiplantae; Streptophyta; Magnoliopsida; Arecales; Arecaceae
Description: long non-coding RNA (EGUI_LNC025212)
Source: RNAcentral